This 476-nucleotide ribosomal RNA is filed under the name uncultured bacterium. RNAcentral's name for it is "partial 16S ribosomal RNA". It matches the Rfam family "Bacterial small subunit ribosomal RNA", at positions 31 to 523 of the family's 1533-position model. The record is from RNAcentral.
GAAGAACGCUGGCGGCGUGCUUAACACAUGCAAGUCGAGCGAGUGAGUUCUUCGGAACGAUCUAGCGGCGGACGGGUGAGUAACACGCGGGCAACCUGCCUCAUAGAGGGGAAUAGCCUCCCGAAAGGGAGAUUAAUACCGCAUAAAAUUAUCGAGUGGCAUCACAUGAUAAUCAAAGGAGUAAUCCGCUAUGAGAUGGGCCCGCGGCGCAUUAGCUAGUUGGUGAGGUAACGGCUCGCCAAGGCGACGAUGCGUAGCUGACCUGAGAGGGUGAUCGGCCACAUUGGGACUGAGACACGGCCCAGACUCCUACGGGAGGCAGCAGUGGGGAAUAUUGCACAAUGGGGGAAACCCUGAUGCAGCAACGCCGCGUGAGUGAUGAAGGUCUUCGGAUUGUAAAGCUCUGUCUUUGGGGACGAUAAUGACGGUACCCAAGGAGGAAGCCACGGCUAACUACGUGCCAGCCGCCGCGGUAA